GAGCCGUUAGCUCAGUUGGGAGAGCAUCUGACUUUUAAUCAGAGGGUCGUGGGUUCGAUCCCCACACGGCUCA
Molecule: transfer RNA, 73 nt
Filed under: Limosilactobacillus oris PB013-T2-3
Lineage: Bacteria; Bacillati; Bacillota; Bacilli; Lactobacillales; Lactobacillaceae
Description: tRNA-Lys
Rfam family: tRNA
About the family: Transfer RNA (tRNA) molecules are approximately 80 nucleotides in length.
Source: RNAcentral